Molecule: unclassified non-coding RNA, 225 nt
Filed under: rhizosphere metagenome
Description: partial ribosomal RNA internal transcribed spacer region
Source: RNAcentral
GUAGGUGAACCUGCGGAAGGAUCAUUACCAAAUCCAAAAAAAAAACUUUAUCAACACCACAAUGUGAACUGAGAAUGGUUUCGUUCCCUCUCCAACUCGCAAGAGACGGCGAGGGAAUGUCUAUUUUUUUUCAACCCCUUUACAACUAUACAACCAUUAUUUAUGCUGAAAGCAAAAAAAAAACGAAACAUGAGACAACUUUUAACGGUGGAUCUCUUGGCUCGU